GAUGAACGCUAGCGAUAGGCUUAACACAUGCAAGUCGAGGGGCAGCACAAGGUAGCUUGCUAUCUGGGUGGCGACCGGCGCACGGGUGCGUAACGCGUAUGCAACUUGCCCUAUACAGGAGGAUAACCCGUCGAAAGACGGACUAAUACUGCGUAUGCUCACAACUUGGCAUCAAGUGGUGAGGAAAGAAAUUCGGUAUAGGAUAGGCAUGCGUCCCAUUAGCUUGUUGGUGAGGUAACGGCUCACCAAGGCAACGAUGGGUAGGGGAACUGAGAGGUUUAUCCCCCACACUGGUACUGAGACACGGACCAGACUCCUACGGGAGGCAGCAGUGAGGAAGAUUGGUCAAUGGGCGCGAGCCUGGACCAGCCAAGUCGCGUGAAGGAUGACUGUCUCAUGGAUUGUAAACUUCUUUUAUACGGGAAUAACAAGAGUCACGUGUGACUCCCUGCAUGUACCGUAUGAAUAAGCAUCGGCUAACUCCGUG
RNAcentral lists this ribosomal RNA (487 nucleotides) under uncultured bacterium. RNAcentral describes it as "partial 16S ribosomal RNA". It matches the Rfam family "Bacterial small subunit ribosomal RNA", at positions 28 to 507 of the family's 1533-position model. The record is from RNAcentral.